Molecule: ribosomal RNA, 433 nt
Filed under: uncultured bacterium
Lineage: Bacteria
Description: partial 16S ribosomal RNA
Rfam family: Bacterial small subunit ribosomal RNA
Source: RNAcentral
AACGAACGCUGGCGGCAUGCCUAACACAUGCGAGUCGAACGAGACCUUCGGGUCUAGUGGCGCACGGGUGCGUAACGCGUGGGAACCUGCCCUUAGGUUCGGAAUAACUCCCCGAAAGGGGUGCUAAUACCGGAUAAUGUCUUCGGACCAAAGAUUUAUCGCCUUUGGAUGGGCCCGCGUUGGAUUAGCUAGUUGGUAGGGUAAAAGCCUACCAAGGCGACGAUCCAUAGCUGGUCUGAGAGGAUGAUCAGCCACACUGGGACUGAGACACGGCCCAGACUCCUACGGGAGGCAGCAGUGGGGAAUAUUGGACAAUGGGCGAAAGCCUGAUCCAGCAAUGCCGCGUGAGUGAUGAAGGCCUUAGGGUUGUAAAGCUCUUUUACCCGGGAUGAUAAUGACAGUACCGGGAGAAUAAGCUCCGACUAACUCCGUG